GAUGAACGCUGGCGGCGUGCCUAAUACAUGCAAGUCGAGCGAACGGACGAGAAGCUUGCUUCUCUGAUGUUAGCGGCGGACGGGUGAGUAACACGUGGAUAACCUACCUAUAAGACUGGGAUAACUUCGGGAAACCGGAGCUAAUACCGGAUAAUAUUUUGAACCGCAUGGUUCAAAAGUGAAAGACGGUCUUGCUGUCACUUAUAGAUGGAUCCGCGCUGCAUUAGCUAGUUGGUAAGGUAACGGCUUACCAAGGCAACGAUGCAUAGCCGACCUGAGAGGGUGAUCGGCCACACUGGAACUGAGACACGGUCCAGACUCCUACGGGAGGCAGCAGUAGGGAAUCUUCCGCAAUGGGCGAAAGCCUGACGGAGCGACGCCGCGUGAGUGAUGAAGGUCUUCGGAUCGUAAAACUCUGUUAUUAGGGAAGAACAUAUGUGUAAGUAACUGUGCACAUCUUGACGGUACCUAAUCAGAAAGCCACGGCUAACUACGUGCCAGCAGCCGCGGUAAUACGUAGGUGGCAAGCGUUAUCCGGAAUUAUUGGGCGUAAGCGCGCGUAGCGGUUUUUUAAGUCUGAUGUGAAAGCCCACGGCUCAACCGUGGAGGGUCAUUGGAAACUGGAAAACUUGAGUGCAGAAGAGGAAAGUGGAAUUCCAUGUGUAGCGGUGAAAUGCGCAGAGAUAUGGAGGAACACCAGUGGCGAAGGCGACUUUCUGGUCUGUAACUGACGCUGAUGUGCGAAAGCGUGGGGAUCAAACAGGAUUAGAUACCCUGGUAGUCCACGCCGUAAACGAUGAGUGCUAAGUGUUAGGGGGUUUCCGCCCCUUAGUGCUGCAGCUAACGCAUUAAGCACUCCGCCUGGGGAGUACGACCGCAAGGUUGAAACUCAAAGGAAUUGACGGGGACCCGCACAAGCGGUGGAGCAUGUGGUUUAAUUCGAAGCAACGCGAAGAACCUUACCAAAUCUUGACAUCCUUUGACAACUCUAGAGAUAGAGCCUUCCCCUUCGGGGGACAAAGUGACAGGUGGUGCAUGGUUGUCGUCAGCUCGUGUCGUGAGAUGUUGGGUUAAGUCCCGCAACGAGCGCAACCCUUAAGCUUAGUUGCCAUCAUUAAGUUGGGCACUCUAAGUUGACUGCCGGUGACAAACCGGAGGAAGGUGGGGAUGACGUCAAAUCAUCAUGCCCCUUAUGAUUUGGGCUACACACGUGCUACAAUGGACAAUACAAAGGGCAGCGAAACCGCGAGGUCAAGCAAAUCCCAUAAAGUUGUUCUCAGUUCGGAUUGUAGUCUGCAACUCGACUACAUGAAGCUGGAAUCGCUAGUAAUCGUAGAUCAGCAUGCUACGGUGAAUACGUUCCCGGGUCU
Molecule: ribosomal RNA, 1370 nt
Filed under: uncultured bacterium
Lineage: Bacteria
Description: bacterial SSU rRNA
Rfam family: Bacterial small subunit ribosomal RNA
Source: RNAcentral